Molecule: ribosomal RNA, 592 nt
Filed under: Streptomyces sp.
Lineage: Bacteria; Bacillati; Actinomycetota; Actinomycetes; Kitasatosporales; Streptomycetaceae
Description: bacterial SSU rRNA
Rfam family: Bacterial small subunit ribosomal RNA
Source: RNAcentral
GCGACGACGGGUAGCCGGCCUGAGAGGGCGACCGGCCACACUGGGACUGAGACACGGCCCAGACUCCUACGGGAGGCAGCAGUGGGGAAUAUUGCACAAUGGGCGGAAGCCUGAUGCAGCGACGCCGCGUGAGGGAUGACGGCCUUCGGGUUGUAAACCUCUUUCAGCAGGGAAGAAGCGAAAGUGACGGUACCUGCAGAAGAAGCGCCGGCUAACUACGUGCCAGCAGCCGCGGUAAUACGUAGGGCGCAAGCGUUGUCCGGAAUUAUUGGGCGUAAAGAGCUCGUAGGCGGCUUGUCGCGUCGGUUGUGAAAGCCCGGGGCUUAACCCCGGGUCUGCAGUCGAUACGGGCAGGCUAGAGUUCGGUAGGGGAGAUCGGAAUUCCUGGUGUAGCGGUGAAAUGCGCAGAUAUCAGGAGGAACACCGGUGGCGAAGGCGGAUCUCUGGGCCGAUACUGACGCUGAGGAGCGAAAGCGUGGGGAGCGAACAGGAUUAGAUACCCUGGUAGUCCACGCCGUAAACGGUGGGCACUAGGUGUGGGCAACAUUCCACGUUGUCCGUGCCGCAGCUAACGCAUUAAGUGCCCCGCCUG